Molecule: ribosomal RNA, 251 nt
Filed under: uncultured bacterium
Lineage: Bacteria
Description: partial 16S ribosomal RNA
Rfam family: Bacterial small subunit ribosomal RNA
Source: RNAcentral
ACGGAGGGUGCGAGCGUUAUCCGGAUUUAUUGGGUUUAAAGGGUGCGUAGGUGGACUGAUAAGUCAGUGGUGAAAGUUUGCCGCUCAACGAUAAAAUUGCCAUUGAAACUGUUAGUCUUGAGUAUGUUUGAGGUAGGCGGAAUGCGUGGUGUAGCGGUGAAAUGCUUAGAUAUCACGCAGAACUCCGAUUGCGAAGGCAGCUUACUAAACCAUAACUGACACUGAAGCACGAAAGCGUGGGUAUCAAACAG